AACGAACGCUGGCGGCAUGCCUAACACAUGCAAGUCGAACGAGACCUUCGGGUCUAGUGGCGCACGGGUGCGUAACGCGUGGGAAUCUGCCCUUUGCUUCGGAAUAACAGUUAGAAAUGACUGCUAAUACCGGAUGAUGUCUUCGGACCAAAGAUUUAUCGGCAAAGGAUGAGCCCGCGUAGGAUUAGGUAGUUGGUGGGGUAAAGGCCUACCAAGCCGACGAUCCUUAGCUGGUCUGAGAGGAUGAUCAGCCACACUGGGACUGAGACACGGCCCAGACUCCUACGGGAGGCAGCAGUGGGAAUAUUGGACAAUGGGCGCAAGCCUGAUCCAGCAAUGCCGCGUGAGUGAUGAAGGCC
This 359-nucleotide ribosomal RNA is filed under the name uncultured bacterium. RNAcentral's name for it is "bacterial SSU rRNA". It matches the Rfam family "Bacterial small subunit ribosomal RNA", at positions 29 to 416 of the family's 1533-position model. The record is from RNAcentral.